Molecule: long non-coding RNA, 384 nt
Organism: Pipra filicauda (Wire-tailed manakin)
Lineage: Eukaryota; Metazoa; Chordata; Aves; Passeriformes; Pipridae
Exons: 2
Source: RefSeq, a predicted model, not a curated record
AAUGAGAGGCUGAAAAAAAUUCUGACAGAUAAGCAGAAGGAAGGCAAGACCCACUACCAGGUCUUGACAGUGCUGUUCUGGCUCCGUCCCACCCUCCAACUCCUCUCGCUCUGCCAGUUCUGGGUAUCCCUUAAGCUGACCAUUUCUGACUGCAUGGAGGAAUGUCCUGCAACAAAUCAAUAUAUCAUCAAGAAUAGGAGGGACAUCCUGGCUCACAGUACGUAGUUAUGGCUGCAACACUAAAAGUGUUAUCUUCAGUUUAUUUGAAGUCUCACCCUAAAGGCUGACAACUUUGAUUGUAUAAAAGUCAUUCCUUCAAUUCAAGUGAUUGCCCACUAUAAAGCUGGAACAUGUGAAUGUGAAUAAAGUAUGUUCUUUGCUUUC